RNAcentral lists this ribosomal RNA (429 nucleotides) under uncultured bacterium. RNAcentral describes it as "bacterial SSU rRNA". It matches the Rfam family "Bacterial small subunit ribosomal RNA", at positions 355 to 776 of the family's 1533-position model. The record is from RNAcentral.
UGGGGAAUAUUGGACAAUGGGGGCAACCCUGAUCCAGCGACGCCGCGUGUGUGAAGAAGGCCUGCGGGUUGUAAAGCACUUUUAGUGGGGAUGAAAAGCCGAGGGCUAAUACCUUUCGGUCUUGACCUAACCCAAAGAAAAAGCACCGGCUAACUCUGUGCCAGCAGCCGCGGUAAUACAGAGGGUGCAAGCGUUAAUCGGAAUUACUGGGCGUAAAGCGUGCGUAGUCGGCUUUUCAAGUCGGGUGUGAAAGCCCCGGGCUCAACCUGGGAAUUGCAUUCGAUACUGGAUGGCUAGAGUUCGGCAGAGGGAAGUGGAAUUUCCGGUGUAGCGGUGAAAUGCGUAGAUAUCGGAAGGAACAUCAGUGGCGAAAGCGACUUCCUGGACCAGAACUGACGAUCAGGCACGAAAGCGUGGGGAGCAAACAGG